RNAcentral lists this ribosomal RNA (253 nucleotides) under uncultured bacterium. RNAcentral's name for it is "partial 16S ribosomal RNA". It matches the Rfam family "Bacterial small subunit ribosomal RNA", at positions 524 to 776 of the family's 1533-position model. The record is from RNAcentral.
UACGUAGGCAGCAAGCGUUGUUCGGAAUUACUGGGCGUAAAGAGUGUGUAGGCGGUUUUCUAAGUUUGGUGUGAAAUCUCCCGGCUUAACUGGGAGGGUGCGCCGAAUACUGAAAGACUAGAGUGCGGGAGAGGAAAGUGGAAUUCCUGGUGUAGCGGUGAAAUGCGUAGAUAUCAGGAGGAACACCGGUGGUGUAGACGGCUUUCUGGACCGUAACUGACGCUGAGACACGAAAGCGUGGGUAGCAAACAGG